ACGUUUACAAGUAGGGGAGGGGGCGACCCUCCCCGAAAAACAACAAGUCUUCGAACACCUUUGUGCACUCUCGAGGGGGACCUCUCCGUUCCCCUCGCGUUGACGAAACGCCCGUUCUGUUUCACGCGUGUAAGGAUGGAUCAUAAAAGUAUGAAAUA
This 158-nucleotide unclassified non-coding RNA is filed under the name uncultured fungus. Its description in RNAcentral is "sequence contains ITS1". The record is from RNAcentral. Lineage: Eukaryota; Fungi.